Unclassified non-coding RNA from Callithrix jacchus (white-tufted-ear marmoset), 300 nucleotides. It matches the Rfam family "Metazoan signal recognition particle RNA". Rfam says of the family: The signal recognition particle (SRP) is a universally conserved ribonucleoprotein. It is involved in the co-translational targeting of proteins to membranes. The record is from Ensembl. Lineage: Eukaryota; Metazoa; Chordata; Mammalia; Primates; Cebidae.
GCCAGGCAUGGUGGUGCAUGCCUGUAGUCCCAGCUACUCAGGAGGCUGAGGCUGGAGGAUCGCUUGAGCCCAGGAGUUCUGGGCUGGAGUGUGCUAUGCUGAUCAGGUGUCUGCACUAAGUUCGGCUUCAAUAUGGAGACCUCCUGGGAGCCAGGGACCACUAGGUUGCCUAAGGAGGGGUGAACCGGCCCAGUUCAGAAAUGGAGCAGGUCAAAACUCCCGUGCUGAUCAGUAGUGGGAUCGUGCCUGUGAACACCCACUGCACUCCAGCCUGGGCAACAUACCGAGACCCUGUCUCUU